UCUCUACUUACACACCAUCAUCUCUACUUACACACCAGUAUCUCUACUUACACACCAGUAUCUCUACUUACACACCAGUAUCUCUACUUACACACCAGUAUCUCUACUUACACACCAUCAUCUCUACUUACACACCAGUAUCUCUACUUACACACCAGUAUCUCUACUUACACACCAGUAUCUCUACUUACACACCAGUAUCACUACUUACACACCAGUAUCUCUACUUACACACCAGUAUCUCUACUUACACACCAUCAUCUCUACUUACACACCAGUAUCUCUACUUACACACCAGUAUCUCUACUUACACACCAGUAUCACUACUUACACACCAGUAUCACUACUUACACACCAUCAUCUCUACUUACACACCAGUAUCACUACUUACACACCAGUAUCACUACUUACACACCAGUAUCACUACUUACACACCAGUAUCUCUACUUACACACCAGUAUCUCUACUUACACACCAGUAUCUCUACUUACACACCAGUAUCUCUACUUACACACCAGUAUCUCUACUUACACACCAGUAUCUCUACUUACACACCAGUAUCUCUACUUACACACCAGCAUCUCUACUUACACACCAGUAUCUCUACUUACACACCAGUAUCUCUACUUACACACCAGUAUCUCUACUUA
Long non-coding RNA from Oncorhynchus keta (chum salmon), 650 nucleotides. RefSeq lists it as uncharacterized. NCBI's taxonomy places the organism in Eukaryota, Metazoa, Chordata, Actinopteri, Salmoniformes, Salmonidae. The record is from RefSeq and is a predicted model, not a curated record. The transcript has 3 exons.